GGAGCCGAAAAGGGAAAACGAAAGGUGUGUAGCUUACUCAUUGGAAAAACAGUAGCACAAUGAUGCGCCACACGGUGGUGCGGCACCACCGCACGGGCAAGGCGCGUGCCUUCAUCAUGCGCGACCCGUCGCUGAAGAUUCUGAGGGCCGGCAGCGGCUUUCAGCAGCUGAAGCGCAUGGGCAUGCCGUCCCAGAAGACCCUCGGUUACCGCCAAGUGGAUAACUUUUACGCCAACAACCAGUACCAGCACGCGUGGCCGCUGCUCACCCACGACGAUCUCGGUAACAGCGACCAGUCGAACCAGACCAAGAAUAUUCUCUACUCCAUGUAUAUGCCGAAGCGUAACAAGGGUACGGCACCGUGGUUUCGCGGUGCGGACACGUACUCGGUCAAAUACUGCGAGCAAGGCCGCUACGAGUACCAGCGCUACCUCAUGAUCAAUCGCUUCCCUAGCGAGUACAAGAAGCACUUCCUGCGCUUCCUAGGCAACAUCCGCGGCUCCAAGUCGAAAGACGCCGUUCCGCAAGAGGCGCUGCACUGGCUGCUGCGCAUGAUCGUCGACAACUUCAACCCGCAGCACGUGCAUUACAUUGCCGCCAUGCGGACGCUUCAGGAUUCGGGCGAGCUGGACAUGGCUCGCGACGUGUGGAAAAUCAUGGAGCGCCAGCAGACAUGGCCCGACACUGCCACAAUCUGCGCCUACCUGGACGUCUGCGUCGAGGCGGGCGAGAAGACGUGGGCCGUGGAGGCGUGGAAUCGCUACUGCACGGAGCUGCGCUUCUUGCAGGCGGGCGAGGUCGAUCCGAAGCCUAUCACCCGCACCCCGUUCUCCCUUACUCGCGAGGAGCUGCUGUACCUGCCCAAGUGGAAGAAGCAUUUUGACCACGAUCCGAACCUGGAUGUCCCGGACCUGAACCGCUUCAACCGCACGCGCGAGGUGUACCUGCGCAUGGCCAAGGUGAUGCUGGCCAGCGACGACAUGAGCAUGUUCGAGCACUUCUUUGGCAAGCUCGAGGCAGCCAUGCUGACCACGCCGACGCCGGUGCCGGAGCCGCCCAACCCGCAUCUGGUGCGCCGUCCGCGCUGGUCCCCUUAUGAGCACCAGAAGUCUCUCCACCACUCGCCCUGGCGCAUGGACAACAACGGCCGCGCCAUGGCUCUCGGCCCGUCGCGGACGAUGGAGGGUGAGAUGCAGAGCCGCUUCUUCAGCAACCCGCAGUUCUUGGUUCACGCAGUAAAGGAGGCCGUGGCGGUGGUGCUGCAGCGGCACAUGGCCAUGUUUCCAGAGGCAACGGACGCCCAGACGGCUGCACCAGCCUUCUUCGAGCAGACGGAGACGGCGCAGGAGACGCUGGCAUUCUGCGACGGCCUGGUGCAGCGGAUGAUGGAGCGCCUCGAAAGCAAGCUCGGCAGCCUUGGCACGUCCCCUCUGCUGUCCACGCUGCUGUGCGUCCGGCGUGUCGUCGGCAAACAGUCUGGCCGCGCGCUGCUGGAGUACGCUAAUCAAUUCCUGACCAAAAAGGCGACGCUCAACGCAGACGGUCUGCGCGAGUCGCUGACGGCGCCGAACUACUUCCAGAUCCUCGCAGCCUACGCGGACGAGAGCGCCUACCACUACAACCCCAAGACGCGGCAGUACACGUACGCGCCGGGCUUCCGACCAACCGAGACGAUGAAGGGACUGAGUGCCACGCUAAAAGAAAUUUCGGCGAACCAGCACGUGGCGUGGUCGGCGGAGAUGCACCUGCAGGUGGUGCGCACACUGGUUGGCUGCGGCACAAUGAAGGCGAACACGUACUUUGUCGAGAACGUGCUGCGGCAGUUCAAGUGGGACAGCCGCUUCCUCGAGGCGCUCUACGCGGAGUACCGCCGCCGCGACAGCGUCGACCUUUGGGCGGAGCUGACGAAGAGAGCCCUCGUAUGGACGGCACGGUACAACGUCAUCGCAUCGGAGCGGCUGAAGCGGUUGAUCGAGGAUGACUACGACAUCAUUCACGUGCAGACGCGCACCUUCCGCGAGCUCGCCGUCUUCCAGUUCCGCGACGUGGAGGAAAAGCGACACGCCCGCGAUGUCGUGAACGAGUUGCCAAACCCGUGGAUCGACUAUGUCACUCACGCGUUGCCCUUCCCCGACCGCGAUGCUGGAUACCCGGAUGAAUACGGCGACAUUGGCCAGUGGCGUGCGCCAGGCGGCCCGGGGUCACCGGUGAAGGGACCGGGCUACUACGCACCGCCGAUGGAGGGCGAGCACAUGCGCGGCUACACGGCCGAGUGGCGUGACUUGAAGAACCCGAUGAAGCCGCCCGCCUUCCCGGAGCCGUGGGAGCGCAAGUACAAGCAGUACGCCCGCGGCCAGCAUCCCUCGUACGACAUGGUGUACGCAGGUCCGAUGCCGGAGAUCUUCCCUGGUCGGCGCGACUUCCGAAAGCCGACUCGCUGGGACUACCACGAUGUGGAGAAGCAGGGGAAGCACAAGAUCAGCGGGCCCUACUGAGAAGCCGCAGAGGAAAGAGCCUGCACACCCUGCGCAACGUUGGAGGGAGGGCACACGGCGGUGGUGGUGGGCAGUGCGUGUCUCUACAUCUUCCCCUUCCAUAUCUUUGCUGUGGCACGGUCGGUCGGCUGUUUUUUUUUUCUUGUUUGUUUGCGCGGUCCUCCCUUGCUGUGCAUCCUCCGCGAUACCGGCACUCCUUGAAGAUGGCUGGGCAAUCACGCGAGUUACUUCGGUCUCCCCCGCCACCCUCACACACACGCACACAUCGCAAACGGCAAGUCGUGAUCUUGUGAGGAAAGACUUUGUGCGCCUCUCUGUGCAUGUUUGGAAUGGCUAGUGAUGCUGACGAGGCGAGGGAGUAGCCAUCCUAUCCAUGAUACGGGUGAUGCGUAUGCUCACGCGAACGGGUCGCGGGGGCGUGCGUGGGCCCGUGCUCUCUCUCUCUCGUUGAUGUCUUAGCUCUGUGCGUCUUUGAGAAAGGUGAACUGCAAAAGAAAAAGCGAGGAAAAGGAUGCGUGUUUGUGUUUGUGUGUGUGUGUGGUGCCCCCUCCCCUUCCGGUGCCUGCCGGCACCUGUUGCUCGUUGAUGGCCUUGCUGGAUCGCUGCGUGUGCAUGCUGCCCUCACCCCCCCCCUCUCGCACAAUAUUAACUUCGCCUGUGAUGCGCACCCUGCCUGCGCAGCUUUUGCGGGCUCUUAUCCCUUUCGUUGUGCGCCAUCUCACCUCGUCCGAGGCAUCCUCACGUCCGGCAUGAGAGCCGUGCGUGGUGGUGCGGCGACGAGGCGGGGAGAGACCGGGGAAAGAGUCGGUUGUGGUGUGUUGUGGUGAGGUAAUCGUGAGUGCGACGCGCACUUUCUGCACACAGUCACGCUCUUAAGUAAAGCAGAG
This 3382-nucleotide unclassified non-coding RNA is filed under the name Leishmania donovani. RNAcentral's name for it is "gene:LdHU3.24.0990(CDS-product:Mitochondrial_SSU_ ribosomal_protein_putative)". The record is from RNAcentral. Lineage: Eukaryota; Euglenozoa; Kinetoplastea; Trypanosomatida; Trypanosomatidae.